CCUACGGGAGGCAGCAGUGAGGAAUAUUGGUCAAUGGGCGCAAGCCUGAACCAGCCAAGUCGCGUGAGGGAUGACGGUCCUAUGGAUUGUAAACCUCUUUUGUCGGGGAGCAAGGCCCGCCACGUGUGUCGGGAAGGAGAGUACCCGAAGAAAAAGCAUCGGCUAACUCCGUUCCAGCAGCCGCGGUAAUACGGUGGAUGCGAGCGUUAUCCGGUGGUAUUGGUUUAAAAGGGUGCGUAGGCGGAAGGUUAAGUCAGCGGUAAAAUGUCGGUGCUCAACACCGGACUGCCGUUGAAACUGGUCUUCUUGAGUGAGCGAGAGGUAAGCGGAAUGCGUGGUGUAGCGGUGAAAUGCAUAGAUAUCACGCAGAACACCGAUUGCGAAGGCAGCAUACCGGCGCUCAACUGACGCUGAGGCACGAAAGCGUGGGGAUCGAACAGGAUUAGAUACCCUGGUAGUC
This 460-nucleotide ribosomal RNA is filed under the name uncultured bacterium. RNAcentral describes it as "partial 16S ribosomal RNA". It matches the Rfam family "Bacterial small subunit ribosomal RNA", at positions 338 to 795 of the family's 1533-position model. The record is from RNAcentral.